GAUCAGCCCGUUGUUCAGGAACAGCAGCCUUGGUUCCCGAUAUGCAGGUUGCAAGGUCACCUCGCUAAGGUCUGUGAAGAAUGGCGCCAAGACAGGGGUGGACUUUCUCUGCACCUACCGCCAGCCCUCCAGGGGCCCAGGUCUGCCUGCCAAGCAGCUGUUCCAUGAGCUGAGCAGGCAAACCCUCGGCAUCACGAAGCUGGGCUCCUACUUUCUGGAUAAGGACAGCCUCUACCUCAAUGGUUAUAAUGAACGUGGUCCAGAUGAGCCUCCUACAA
Long non-coding RNA from Myotis davidii, 278 nucleotides. RefSeq lists it as uncharacterized. The transcript has 3 exons. NCBI's taxonomy places the organism in Eukaryota, Metazoa, Chordata, Mammalia, Chiroptera, Vespertilionidae. The record is from RefSeq and is a predicted model, not a curated record.